Non-coding RNA from Xyrichtys novacula (pearly razorfish), 4973 nucleotides. The record is from the annotation of a GenBank genome assembly. Lineage: Eukaryota; Metazoa; Chordata; Actinopteri; Labriformes; Labridae.
GCAUGUGCGAAACGUACGUCACUUCCUCUACCACCAGUUUGCCUAAUCAGAGAAAAUAUUAUUAAUUGGAGUGCACGUGGGAAGAUGAAGCAGCUAAUUACCAGGCCUAAACAAAACAAACUUACUGUCCCAUACCACGGUUAUGGAGCUAAAAAGGUAAGAAAGAUACAUUUUAAGGACAUGAGACGAAAUGUAAGCGACAACUCUUUCUUAGCGGAUGUUACAGAGACUGUUUGCUGUGAUAAAGACGGAUUAAAUAGCCAGAGAUUUGUUUUGUGUUACGGGAAAUAGCUGUCCUUAUUUACAGAGUUCGUGUGUAUUUAUUUUGCAAGGACAUUUUUCUAUGUGCGUAAGACGGAAUUGUGUGGCACUUUUGCUAUGAGGAUACUUUAUGGACAUUGCCCCUUUAUUUUGAUAUCUCCUGCUAUGAUGUGUAUGGUGGCUGAGAACUGCCACUGCUGCAAAUAAAAAAAAUGCAAAAAAAAUAAAAAUAAAAUAAAUAAAUAAGAAAGAAACCACAACAGAAGUUAUUGAUGCAAAAAUAAAUGAAAAAAAAGUCACUGAAGCCCACUGCUAAUAAAAAUUGAAUGCAGAAAAAAUGAGCCACAAAGGAGUUAACGACACACAAAAAAAGUGGGGAUGCAAAAAAAGAAUUUUUAAAAAUGUACUUACUGCUAAAAUUAAACAACGGAAGUGAGCUGCAGGGGUGGCCAAGAACCACCACUGCUGCAGAUAAAAAAAGAAUGCAAAAAAAAAAAAAAAUUAGUCACAACAGAAGUUUUCGAUGCAAAAAGAAAACAACGCCUGCUGCUAGCAAAAAAUUAAAACCGUGCAAAUUAAAAAAAAAAAUUUAAAAAGCCACAACGGAGUUAACGACACAAAAAAAGUGGGGAUGCAAAAAAAGAUUUUUAAAAAGGUACUUACUGCAAAAAUUAAACAACGGAAGUGAGCUGCAGGGGUGGCCGAGAACCACCACUGCUGCAAAUAAUAAAGACUGCAAAAAAGAGAAAAAUAGAAGUCACAACAGAAGUUAUUGAUGGAAAAAAAAAGGAAACUGAAACUGAAGCCUGCUGCUGACAAAAAAAUUAAACAGUGUCAUACUUACUGUCCAUGUGGAUUCUCAUUCAUCCAGGUCAUGGUUAUCUUGAAGACUUAAAACAGUCUGUAAAACUGUCAUACUUACUAUACUUUUUUAAGUAUACUAGAGAAAGAUCAAAGGAGUGUGAUCCAGAUGGUAAAAGUGUGUAACUGUAAAAAUCCUUAAAAGCACCUGUUCACAUAGUAUAAACAUGAGUAGACAAACAAUCUCUGUUGUCUCUCAUCUUGUACUAAUCUUUUUUAAUAUUUUUUAGCUGUAAUCCAGCUACAGUGAAUUUUCUGUGGCUGAAGUUGCCUUUUUAAACUUUAUGUUAACUCAAUGGAAAACACCCUAAUGAGUUUAGUCUGUGGAAAUAUAGAUAUACACAGCUUGUUCCACCCACAAUUUUUCAUAGAUAUUCAUCAUUACUGAACUGAAAAACAGCUGACCUGAGAGUGUGCCUAAAUAAAACCCUUUAAUACAAUUAAAAAUCGAGAGAGCUGUCACUCUGUUAAAGUUGUUUAAAGUAGUAUUUUCUCUCUUGAAGAUCUGUGGGCAUGACAGACGUCACGCUGGAAGAAGGACAGGAGCGGUCAUCUUCCCUGAGCUGAAGCUCUAAGGUUAGAGGAUUUUUUUUUUUGUAUCAUAGCUGCAUGUUUCAUGUUUCAGCACCGAUUUGCUGAUUUUUUAGGCUCCUAAGGUUCAAGUUUAACUGUAGAGAAAAUGAUCUGAUUUUGUUACUCACAGAAACCUCUCUGCAGCCUCAAUAGUAGCACAAUGAAGGUUUCAACAUGAAGGAGCCUCUAAAGGAGCCAAAACUCUGUGCUUAUGUUUAUGAAUGUUAAAUAAAUUCUCUUUAGCUCUUUAGCUUAAAGAUGUACUUAGCACAGUUUAACAGACAUUAAAGUGACAUUACUCUGUAUUUUAACACAGUAGAGUUAAAAAGUGGAGAGAAGCUGAAAACUAGAAAUCAGGUCUCAAAUGGCAGAUUUAUCAUUUUUAAUAUUAUUGUUUUGCAUUUAAUGAAAUAAUAGAAACAAAAAUACCCAGAAAAAAAUUGCUAAACUUGAGUGAACUUUAUUUAAACAAUACAGACCAGACUAACUUUGGUACAGUAAAAUAUUAUGACAAGAACAUUUUGUAUUCUUUUAAAUUUAUUAAAAUAAGAUAAAAGAAGACAGUGAAUAAUUGGAUCAGAAAAUAAAAGGAAAAAAAUCAAAGUUUUAUCUAAAUGCAUUAAUGCUAGUCUUAUAUUUAUGUUAAUAUGAUCCAGUGACUUGCUUUACAUGAUUAUUAAAUAAUAAAUGAAAUAGAAAAAUACAGAGUUGUGUGAUACAUUUGGAAAAGUAUGUAAAUGUAAAUAAUUCAUUUAAUCGAUAAGAAAUAAAAAAAAAAACCACACCAAUUAUCUGAAAAUACCAUCCAUUCACCUGGUUAUUGAGCUGAUCAAUGAACAAAAAUCUGGUACAGAACCUUUUUUCAAGAAUAUGUUUUAUUCUGUUUCAAAAGCAGCAUUUACAGGAAUAUCAACAUUUAACAGAACUGAAACAAGACAGCACAUGAUAGGAGAUUAAAAACUGUCUGUAGUGAUGAGUAUAAAUAGAUGUUAGGUAUGUCUUACCCUAAAAACUACAACUUUCUCUUGUUCUUUCAGGACUCUACACCGGACCGUCCCUGGAGUCGGGUGGACCACCAUCUUCAUGUGGCGGCCUUCCUCCCUCGGCGUCCCGUUCAGGUAGAGGCGCUCAGCUGCUCCUGUGAUGCUGUUCAGAGUCUGAUUAUCAGUCCAUCUUUUCACUGACUGAUCAGAGACUGAGAGUGAAGCUGAACUACCUCAUUGAUAACUCGUUAGGUGUCUCCAGUAAUUAAUGUAACCAUUUUUUUAUUAAUGAAAAAAGAGGAGUCUCCAUUUAUCUCCACAGCUUCACUCUCAGUCUCUGAUCAGUCAGUGAAAAGAUAUGGGGAGAGAUUUGUCUCAACAUUAUGCACAAAUAUGUAUCCACAAUUUCCACAUGUGACUAUCAGCUCCACAAAUAUAUUUCCAUGAUUUUCACGUGUUUUUUUAAUUUGUGUGUGCAUUUAUCAUGAUUCAUCAUUCGUAAAUCAUCAGUUCUGCUUGUGAAUUGUUGAAAAAUGUGUUUGUGGAUCAACCGGCACGUGCGUUUAUUUUUGAGACAAAUAUCACAGUUUUGAAGACACACACAAGUUGAGGAUUUUCACCUGAGGAGAACACCGCCUCUCCCAUCCACUGGGCAGCAGUGUUGCUCCCUCUGUUGACAGACUGUGAAUAAGAUGAUUGACAGCUGUCCACCUUAGAAGUGGGGAGAAGUUUCUCUGCUUCUAUAGUGGAUAGCUGUCAAUCAUCUUCCUCACAGUCUAUGCUCUCAACAGAGAGACAGAGAGCUCUUUACACAAAUGUGGUCAAGUUUAACCCAAAAUAAACUCAAAUUCUGAUGAUUUAUUUGUUGUAUUUUAUGGUACAGGUGCUUGCAGUUGGACUCAACAUAUUGGAAGAAGAGGAGGAUCAUCAAACAGUGCAGCGGAUACUCUCAGGUGAUGUUAUCAUCUGUGUUCUUAAAGUUCAUCAGUGUUUUCAUUACUGGAAAAUAAUUAUUGUGUUGUAGAUGAGACAUGACUUAAAGAAAUCGUAGAGCUCAAAACAUCAGGGUUAUGAUUAAAUGAAUUUAUUCACCAAAAAUCACAAAUCAGCUAAUAUUAAUGUGUUUUUUGUUUUGUUUAAUUCGCUGCAUGAAAAAGAACAAGCAGAAGUAUGAUUAAAUUUUCCGUAAAUGUUUCUGUAAAUUAAAUCAGUCUAAGGUUUUUUGGUCAUGACUUUAAAGUUACGAUAUGACUAAAGCAGCUGCUUUUUCUUCUGUUGGGUUAAAUGUGACAAACUAAUUGUCUCUCUUCUUUUCUUUCAGGACCAACUGUGGAGUUUUUUCCUUUUGUGAAUUGUUUUCCUUUGUUCUUGUUGUUACUUAGCAUUUUUGGAGGAGUCUGACAGCUAAAACCCACAGAAUCUGGAAUAGCUGCACUCUUGAUCCAGCAGGCGGAUCAAAUACACAAGCAUCAAAAUCAGUGUGCGUGAUUCUACAGAGUCGGUCCACUGUCCGGCUCCACUGCAGAUUGGCGGUUGGAUUAGAUACGCAAGGCUUCAAUUUUUGACAGCGCAGCACAAACAGCAGCGGAAGUUGUAUGCGGUUACAGAGUAAAAUACCUGGUUAAUUUUCAAAAUAAAAUAAAGUCAAUACAUUGAACUGUUCUUCACUUAAUAAUAGUAGAAGCCAGGGUUGUGGGAUGUGGGUGUUUUAUACACACCGCCGUUUAUAUGCACUGAUCGGCAGAUCUCAUUCAAUGUCUCACGGUGAAACACGUGAGUUCUCAUGAGACCUUGUCCAGUCUCGCGAGAAACAUCGGUUAUAUUGUGAGCGCUUCUCCUCUGCUUGCUGCAGCAGAUCAGAUCUGGUGAGCGCUGUAUGCUUGGGUAUUUGAUCCGCCUGCUGGUCUGGAGCGGAGUGGAACCGCUCUGGAUCCUGUGGAAUCCCUGGGUUAGUGUGUGUUUAUUUAGUUAGAGUGUAGUUAAGUUAGGUACAGGCAGUGAAGGUAGGAGUUUUAUUUGAUUUCUGUGAAACAAGAGAGAUCUUGAGCUUCCCUUUUAGGUACUUGCUACACUCUCUGAUAGGUAGGUUGGAGAUUGAUGUGCCCUUGUUUAAUCUCAUUUAAGACUCAAUUUGUUUGAUCUUGGGAGAAGCUUGUAGUUUUUAAUGGAAACUUUAUAUGUGAACUUGACUGUAAAUGAAAAAAUAUUCACUGCUAAGAAAACAGAAGUCUGUCAAGUUGUUUUCAUGGGGGGACCAACAAGUUCAUAAAUAAAAAACACACAGACACACUGUGA